CCUACGGGAGGCAGCAGUGAGGAAUAUUGGUCAAUGGCCGCAGGGCUGAACCAGCCAAGUCGCGUGAGGGAUGACGGUCCUAUGGAUUGUAAACCUCUUUUGUCAGGGAGCAAAGGGCGCCACGUGUGGAUAUUUGCAUGUACCCUAUGAAUAAGCAUCGGCUAACUCCGUGCCAGCAGCCGCGGUAAUACGGAGGAUGCGAGCGUUAUCCGGAUUUAUUGGGUUUAAAGGGUGCGUAGGUUGUUUUUUAAGUCAGCGGUGAAAGUUUGUGGCUCAACCAUAAAAUUGCCGUUGAAACUGGAAGACUUGAGUGUGUUUGAGGUAGGCGGAAUGCGUGGUGUAGCGGUGAAAUGCAUAGAUAUCACGCAGAACCCCGAUUGCGAAGGCAGCAUACCGGUGCACAACUGACGCUCAGGCACGAAAGCGUGGGUAUCGAACAGGAUUAGAUACCCCAGUAGUC
Molecule: ribosomal RNA, 460 nt
Filed under: uncultured bacterium
Lineage: Bacteria
Description: partial 16S ribosomal RNA
Rfam family: Bacterial small subunit ribosomal RNA
Source: RNAcentral